AUUGAACGCUGGCGGCAGGCCUAACACAUGCAAGUCGAGCGGCAGCGGGAAAGUAGCUUGCUACUUUUGCCGGCGAGCGGCGGACGGGUGAGUAAUGCCUGGGAAAUUGCCCAGUCGAGGGGGAUAACAGUUGGAAACGACUGCUAAUACCGCAUACGCCUACGGGGGAAAGCAGGGGACCUUCGGGCCUUGCGCGAUUGGAUAUGCCCAGGUGGGAUUAGCUAGUUGGUGAGGUAAUGGCUCACCAAGGCGACGAUCCCUAGCUGGUCUGAGAGGAUGAUCAGCCACACUGGAACUGAGACACGGUCCAGACUCCUACGGGAGGCAGCAGUGGGGAAUAUUGCACAAUGGGGGAAACCCGUGAUGCAGCCAUGCCGCGUGUGUGAAGAAGGCCUGGUUGUAAG
Molecule: ribosomal RNA, 404 nt
Filed under: uncultured bacterium
Lineage: Bacteria
Description: bacterial SSU rRNA
Rfam family: Bacterial small subunit ribosomal RNA
Source: RNAcentral